This 1249-nucleotide ribosomal RNA is filed under the name Salmonella enterica. RNAcentral's name for it is "partial 23S ribosomal RNA". It matches the Rfam family "Bacterial large subunit ribosomal RNA", at positions 1572 to 2802 of the family's 2925-position model. RNAcentral also lists the same sequence under 2 other names. Lineage: Bacteria; Pseudomonadati; Pseudomonadota; Gammaproteobacteria; Enterobacterales; Enterobacteriaceae. The record is from RNAcentral.
AGGCACUACGGUGCUGAAGCAACAAAUGCCCUGCUUCCAGGAAAAGCCUCUAAGCAUCAGGUAACACGAAAUCGUACCCCAAACCGACACAGGUGGUCAGGUAGAGAAUACCAAGGCGCUUGAGAGAACUCGGGUGAAGGAACUAGGCAAAAUGGUGCCGUAACUUCGGGAGAAGGCACGCUGACACGUAGGUGAAGUGAUUUACUCAUGGAGCUGAAGUCAGUCGAAGAUACCAGCUGGCUGCAACUGUUUAUUAAAAACACAGCACUGUGCAAACACGAAAGUGGACGUAUACGGUGUGACGCCUGCCCGGUGCCGGAAGGUUAAUUGAUGGGGUCAGCGUAAGCGAAGCUCCUGAUCGAAGCCCCGGUAAACGGCGGCCGUAACUAUAACGGUCCUAAGGUAGCGAAAUUCCUUGUCGGGUAAGUUCCGACCUGCACGAAUGGCGUAAUGAUGGCCAGGCUGUCUCCACCCGAGACUCAGUGAAAUUGAACUCGCUGUGAAGAUGCAGUGUACCCGCGGCAAGACGGAAAGACCCCGUGAACCUUUACUAUAGCUUGACACUGAACAUUGAGCCUUGAUGUGUAGGAUAGGUGGGAGGCUUUGAAGUGUGGACGCCAGUCUGCAUGGAGCCGACCUUGAAAUACCACCCUUUAAUGUUUGAUGUUCUAACGUGGACCCGUAAUCCGGGUUGCGGACAGUGUCUGGUGGGUAGUUUGACUGGGGCGGUCUCCUCCUAAAGAGUAACGGAGGAGCACGAAGGUUGGCUAAUCCUGGUCGGACAUCAGGAGGUUAGUGCAAUGGCAUAAGCCAGCUUGACUGCGAGCGUGACGGCGCGAGCAGGUGCGAAAGCAGGUCAUAGUGAUCCGGUGGUUCUGAAUGGAAGGGCCAUCGCUCAACGGAUAAAAGGUACUCCGGGGAUAACAGGCUGAUACCGCCCAAGAGUUCAUAUCGACGGCGGUGUUUGGCACCUCGAUGUCGGCUCAUCACAUCCUGGGGCUGAAGUAGGUCCCAAGGGUAUGGCUGUUCGCCAUUUAAAGUGGUACGCGAGCUGGGUUUAGAACGUCGUGAGACAGUUCGGUCCCUAUCUGCCGUGGGCGCUGGAGAACUGAGGGGGGCUGCUCCUAGUACGAGAGGACCGGAGUGGACGCAUCACUGGUGUUCGGGUUGUCAUGCCAAUGGCACUGCCCGGUAGCUAAAUGCGGAAGAGAUAAGUGCUGAAAGCAUCUAAGCACGAAACUUGCCCCGA